CAGUAGCCGCGGGAAUACCGAGGGUGCAAGCGUUAAUCGGAAUUACUGGGCGUAAAGCGCGCGUAGGUGGUUUGUUAAGUUGGAUGUGAAAUCCCCGGGCUCAACCUGGGAACUGCAUCCAAAACUGGCAAGCUAGAGUAUGGUAGAGGGUGGUGGAAUUUCCUGUGUAGCGGUGAAAUGCGUAGAUAUAGGAAGGAACACCAGUGGCGAAGGCGACCACCUGGACUGAUACUGACACUGAGGUGCGAAAGCGUGGGGAGCAAACAGGAUUAGAUACCCCUGUAGUCCCUGUCUCUUAUAC
This 301-nucleotide ribosomal RNA is filed under the name uncultured bacterium. RNAcentral's name for it is "partial 16S ribosomal RNA". It matches the Rfam family "Bacterial small subunit ribosomal RNA", at positions 509 to 807 of the family's 1533-position model. The record is from RNAcentral.